This 497-nucleotide ribosomal RNA is filed under the name uncultured bacterium. RNAcentral's name for it is "partial 16S ribosomal RNA". It matches the Rfam family "Bacterial small subunit ribosomal RNA", at positions 28 to 507 of the family's 1533-position model. The record is from RNAcentral.
GAUGAACGCUGGCGGCGUGCCUAAUACAUGCAAGUCGAGCGAACGGACGAGAAGCUUGCUUCUCUGAUGUUAGCGGCGGACGGGUGAGUAACACGUGGAUAACCUACCUAUAAGACUGGGAUAACUUCGGGAAACCGGCGCUAAUACCGGAUAAUAUUUUGAACCGCAUGGUUCAAAAGUGAAAGACGGUCUUGCUGUCACUUAUCGAUGGAUCCGCGCUGCAUUAGCUAGUUGGUAAGGUAACGGCUUACCAAGGCAACGAUGCAUAGACGACCUGCGAGGGUGAUCGGCCACACGGGAACUGAGACACGGUCCAGACUCCUACGGGAGGCAGCAGUAGGGAAUCUUCCGCAAUGGGCGAAAGCCUGACGGAGCAACGCCGCGUGAGUGAUGAAGGUCUUCGGAUCGUAAAACUCUGUUAUGAGGGAAGAACAUAUGUGUAAGUAACUGUGCACAGCUUGACGGUACCUAAUCAGAAAGCCACGGCUAACUACGUG